Molecule: long non-coding RNA, 557 nt
Filed under: Scleropages formosus (Asian bonytongue)
Lineage: Eukaryota; Metazoa; Chordata; Actinopteri; Osteoglossiformes; Osteoglossidae
Description: lncRNA (ENSSFOG00015030706.1)
Source: RNAcentral
CUCUGGCAAUCUUGCACCGGAGGAACAUUUUUCCUUGUCGCUAUUCACCUACCGAAUUCAUUUGGCAAAGAAGGUACAUUUCUGAAAGUGUCAUAUGUUGGUCUGAAGUUUUCUGACAGUAGACUAAGAAUACAAUAAACUGCAAGCAGCACAGUACGAUUUGUGUGGGAUUUUCAACCGUUUCUGAAAUGGGUGUGGCGCUCAUUCUGUCCUGCCUUGCAGCGAUGGCAUACAGCAGUCCUGUCCAGGUGCGUCAUUCGCCCCAGCAGCUCCUCGACCACCAGAUCCGGCUCCUCCAGCAGAAACAUGCCAGUGGAGGAUCUUGCAAAGAGAUUUCAGGGGCUGUGGCUCCACCAGCACAGACUGGUCAGACUGCACAGGUGCCUCGAUUACCGAAGUCCGUGUCCCCCGUGAACCAGGCCAGCCCAGCAGGCAGCCAGGUGCUCCUUCCCACACAACCCAACAACCAGGCAUGGCAACCAGGCAUACCUUUCAUGGUGCCUCUGCAGCCCAACUCUCAGACCCCCCAGCUGGCAUUCCAGGGCCCCGUUCCACCG